AGACAGGGAGCACAGGGGAAGGGUGCAGAUGUCCUGGCACAGGGAGUUGUGAGAUGAGGACAUCUGGGUGGUGACAGAGCCAAGACCACCCCCUGCAGCCACAAAGCCACCCCAGUGUCAUGCAGCCAACAGACAGCCCUCCCUCACUCACCUGGGUAGGACGGACAGCGUUGCCAUGAUAAGCAAAGAGAGAAAACACCUCCAAGGCACCCAGCACGACCCACCUCACCCCCUUGACAUGGGGAAGACCUCCUCACCAUGCACAGGGUGGGGUGGGGAGAAGAGGAGAUCUGCCCCUCCUCACACCUAAAUAUCCCCCAGGUGACCCUGCUGGGCCACAGCUGGAAGCAAAGCAUGGGGAGGGGAGGAGAGGUCUGGGUUUUAAUGGAUGUGGCCCUGCAAGCAGGGAGAGGGAAACAGCCCCAGGUGGGUGCAUUCAGGUAGAGAAUUAAUGAUGGAGACAGCGUGAGGGUUGAUACCUCAGCAAGGCAAUGGUCUCCUCCAUGCGUGUGCAGCUCCUAUUGCUGCUGUUGAAUCAUCUCUGUAAGUGCAUGAGGGAUAUGAAACGUUGCCCAAAAUAUGUUGAGAAAACCCAGAUCCAGGAACCUAAGAGUAAGGAUGCAAAGGAGGCACCCAGCAAACCCCAUAGCGACCCUCAGCAAAGAGACCCUGGGGAUAGAUGGGGGACACCUCCCCGGUUUCCCUCGAAGCAUUGCUGUGAAAUGCAGUUUGCUGCUGCACCACUGAUGCAGUGCCCCUUUGCAGAUGCUGCCAAGGAGUCACCAGGGCAAACCUCAGCGCUCUGCUUUGCACGAGGACAGCGGGCUGCCAGCAGUGCCCUGCUAUGGAGAGGCUGCCCUAUGGCCGAGCAACAGCACCGCAGCACUGAGAUGCUGAAGACAAAAUCACCACGAGCAGGAAAAAGCCUCCCCAGGACCUGGCAGGGCUGACUUUCUCCUGUUUCAAAGGCAGCGUGGGACAGAUGAGGGAGAUUUGCAUUCCCAGGCAAAUGGAAGUCCGG
Molecule: long non-coding RNA, 1021 nt
Filed under: Gallus gallus (chicken)
Lineage: Eukaryota; Metazoa; Chordata; Aves; Galliformes; Phasianidae
Description: lncRNA (ENSGALG00010026599.1)
Source: RNAcentral